ACAUUCUGGCUUCCCUUCAUAAUGUACAAGUCUUUUGCCUUUUACUAAAGACUUCUGUGCUUCUGUGGAGAGUGACACUAAGGAAUUGCACCCAUUUUUUGGCACGCUUGGGG
RNAcentral lists this small nuclear RNA (113 nucleotides) under Oreochromis aureus. RNAcentral describes it as "U5 spliceosomal RNA". It matches the Rfam family "U5 spliceosomal RNA". Rfam says of the family: U5 RNA is a component of both types of known spliceosome. The record is from Rfam by way of RNAcentral. Lineage: Eukaryota; Metazoa; Chordata; Actinopteri; Cichliformes; Cichlidae.